RNAcentral lists this ribosomal RNA (497 nucleotides) under uncultured bacterium. RNAcentral's name for it is "partial 16S ribosomal RNA". It matches the Rfam family "Bacterial small subunit ribosomal RNA", at positions 28 to 507 of the family's 1533-position model. The record is from RNAcentral.
GAUGAACGCUGGCGGCGUGCCUAAUACAUGCAAGUCGAGCGAACAGAUGAGGAGCUUGCUCCUCUGACGUUAGCGGCGGACGGGUGAGUAACACGUGGAUCACCUACCUAUAAGACUGGGAUAACUUCGGGAAACCGGAGCUAAUACCGGAUAAUAUAUUGAACCGCAUGGUUCAAUAGUGAAAGACGGUUUUGCUGUCACUUAUAGAUGGAUCCGCGCCGCAUUAGCUAGUUGGUAAGGUAACGGCUUACCAAGGCAACGAUGCGUAGCCGACCUGAGAGGGUGAUCGGCCACACUGGAACUGAGACACGGUCCAGACUCCUACGGGAGGCAGCAGUAGGGAAUCUUCCGCAAUGGGCGAAAGCCUGACGGAGCAACGCCGCGUGAGUGAUGAAGGUCUUCGGAUCGUAAAACUCUGUUAUUAGGGAAGAACAAAUGUGUAAGUAACUAUGCACGUCUUGACGGUACCUAAUCAGAAAGCCACGGCUAACUACGUG